Molecule: long non-coding RNA, 172 nt
Organism: Fundulus heteroclitus (mummichog)
Lineage: Eukaryota; Metazoa; Chordata; Actinopteri; Cyprinodontiformes; Fundulidae
Exons: 3
Source: RefSeq, a predicted model, not a curated record
CGCCACCUACCGGACGGACAGGUGAACUACGCCUUGAAUUAACGAGAGGGGACCUCCGUUUUGGUGGAAGACAACGGAGGGACAGAUGAUCAUGUUUUGCAGAGCAGGUUUGGACACCCCUGCAACCUGCGGACCCAGUGCCACAAGAGGCUGUUUGGACCUUCCACAACGA